Long non-coding RNA from Vespa crabro (European hornet), 978 nucleotides. RefSeq lists it as uncharacterized. The record is from RefSeq and is a predicted model, not a curated record. NCBI's taxonomy places the organism in Eukaryota, Metazoa, Arthropoda, Insecta, Hymenoptera, Vespidae. The transcript is spliced from 3 exons.
AUAAUAAAUUAUACAUUUGUGAUUAUUUAAUUGAAAAUAUGUAGUCUGAUAUCAUUUAUUCAAAUAAAUAAAAAUAAAACCAAAUAGAAGAAACAUUUCCUUAUAUAACACAACAUCACUUCUUUAGAACUAAGUAUGAAUUUAAAAACUUGAUUUAAAACUUGUAAACUCAUAGAAAGAAAACUCCUUUAAAAGUUUCACAACUUUUCGCUCGUAGAGUAUACGACUUCAGCGACAAGUACGGAUAAAAUAUGAAUUACAAAUGCAAUAAGGAAACUAUCCACACUAUACGUCAAUACGAUCUUUAGACUUAACUCGAGUGUAAUCUAAUACCCGAGCUAAUGAGAGAAAUAUUUAUAUUGCAGUAAAAAUAAUAGUAUAUCUGACAAAAGCAAGAUAAAAUGAUAUAGUAGAUUAUACUUUAAUAGAUUAAUUGAUGAGUGUUUGUUAAUUGUACAAACUUUAUAUUUUUUGUAUCUAAUUAAACUUAACAUAUAGCUAAAGAGUGUUUAAGCAGCCAUUAUCUUGAUAUUGCGUUGAAAUAAAUAAAAUAAAAGAUAAUAGUUGGAUCAAUAGAUUGCAGAUGCAUAUUUUGAAUUGUGAAAUAUGUAAAUAUGAUUACGUAUAUGAGUAGAAUAUUAAUUAUAGUAUUUAACCUGAGAAGUAUAAAUAAAAAUAAAUGAAAAUAAAUAAAAAUAAUGUAAAAUGUAAAUAAUAUGAUCUAGACGAAUCCACAAUGGGUAUCAUAAUGGCGUAUACAGAAAUCAGACGAAAUGUAAUAAAACACUUUCCUAUAUCAUUUGGAUCUAUGCCUGGCAGAGAUGAAAAUAGAAGAGAUCCUUGUACCAUGGGUCUAGCUACAGCUACCAUACAAGUCAUUGCUGCUGUGAGUUUGUGAGGUUCUGUGAGAGAAUCUAAUGUAGAAUACAUCCUCUCUAGAACUUGUGGUAUUACUAAGCUAGGUCUCAUAGUAGCAAG